GGGCCCGCACAAGCAGUGGAGCAUGUGGUUUAAUUCGAUGCAACGCGAAGAACCUUACCAGGCCUUGACAUCCUCGGAACUUUCUAGAGAUAGAUUGGUGCCUUCGGGAACCGAGUGACAGGUGCUGCAUGGCUGUCGUCAGCUCGUGUCGUGAGAUGUUCGGUUAAGUCCCGUAACGAGCGCAACCCCUAUCCUUAUUUGCCAGCACAUCAUGGUGGGAACUAUAAGGAGACUGCCGGUGAUAAACCGGAGGAAGGCGGGGACGACGUCAAGUCAUCAUGGCCCUUACGACCAGGGCUACACACGUGCUACAAUGGGAAGGACAAAGAGCCGCGAAGCCGCGAGGGGGAGCCAAUCCGACAAACCUAGUCGUAGUCCGGAUCGGAGUCUGCAACUCGACUCCGUGAAGUCGGAAUUGCUAGUAAUCG
This 428-nucleotide ribosomal RNA is filed under the name uncultured bacterium. RNAcentral's name for it is "bacterial SSU rRNA". It matches the Rfam family "Bacterial small subunit ribosomal RNA", at positions 917 to 1344 of the family's 1533-position model. The record is from RNAcentral.